GUGAACGCUGGCGGUAGGCCUAACCCAUGCAAGUCGCACGGCAGCACAGUAAGAGCUUGCUCUUACGGGUGGCGAGUGGCGGACGGGUGAGGAGUACAUCGGAAUCUACUUUUUCGUGGGGGAUAACGUAGGGAAACUUACGCUAAUACCGCAUACGACCUACGGGUGAAAGCAGGGGAUCUUCGGACCUUGCGCGAUUGAAUGAGCCGAUGUCGGAUUAGCUAGUUGGCGGGGUAAAGGCCCACCAAGGCGACGAUCCGUAGCUGGUCUGAGAGGAUGAUCAGCCACACUGGAACUGAGACACGGUCCAGACUCCUACGGGAGGCAGCAGUGGGGAAUAUUGGACAAUGGGCGCAAGCCUGAUCCAGCCAUACCGCGUGGGUGAAGAAGGCCUUCGGGUUGUAAAGCCCUUUUGUUGGGAAAGAAAAGCAGCAGGUUAAUACCCCGCUGUUCUGACGGUACCCAAAGAAUAAGCACCGGCUAACUUCGUG
This 491-nucleotide ribosomal RNA is filed under the name uncultured bacterium. Its description in RNAcentral is "partial 16S ribosomal RNA". It matches the Rfam family "Bacterial small subunit ribosomal RNA", at positions 29 to 507 of the family's 1533-position model. The record is from RNAcentral.